GCAGGUGUGAAUGAUGACUGUACUUUUUUCCCCAUCCGAUCGACAAUGCUGAUCUCAGAACACUUGUUGCCAGUUAGUCCUGAUACACCAGC
Jaculus jaculus (lesser Egyptian jerboa) is the source of this 92-nucleotide small nucleolar RNA. Ensembl annotates it as predicted gene, 25878. NCBI's taxonomy places the organism in Eukaryota, Metazoa, Chordata, Mammalia, Rodentia, Dipodidae. The record is from Ensembl.